Molecule: ribosomal RNA, 460 nt
Filed under: uncultured bacterium
Lineage: Bacteria
Description: partial 16S ribosomal RNA
Rfam family: Bacterial small subunit ribosomal RNA
Source: RNAcentral
CCUACGGGAGGCAGCAGUGAGGAAUAUUGGUCAAUGGACGAGAGUCUGAACCAGCCAAGUAGCGUGAAGGAUGACUGCCCUAUGGGUUGUAAACUUCUUUUAUAUGGGAAUAAAAUGUUCCACGUGUGGGAUUUUGUAUGUACCAUAUGAAUAAGGAUCGGCUAACUCCGUGCCAGCAGCCGCGGUAAUACGGAGGAUCCGAGCGUUAUCCGGAUUUAUUGGGUUUAAAGGGAGCGUAGGUGGAUUGUUAAGUCAGUUGUGAAAUGUUGCGGCUCAACCGUAAAAUUGCAGUUGAAACUGGGGAUCUAGAGUGUGCGAGAGGUAUGCGGAAUGCGUGGUGUAGCGGUGAAAUGCAUAGAUAUCACGAAGAACCCCGAUUGCGAAGGCAGCAUACCGGUGCACAACUGACGCUCAGGCACGAAAGCGUGGGUAUCGAACAGGAUUAGAUACCCCUGUAGUC